This 1219-nucleotide ribosomal RNA is filed under the name Salmonella enterica subsp. enterica serovar Typhimurium. Its description in RNAcentral is "partial 23S ribosomal RNA". It matches the Rfam family "Bacterial large subunit ribosomal RNA", at positions 566 to 1616 of the family's 2925-position model. Lineage: Bacteria; Pseudomonadati; Pseudomonadota; Gammaproteobacteria; Enterobacterales; Enterobacteriaceae. The record is from RNAcentral.
CCACCACCAAAGCAUUCUCUGGUGUUGAAGGCCCUGCAAAGCAGCAUCGCGGUGGCGGAGCGUCGUUUGCGACGCCCAACACACAAAACAAGCGGUGAAUGCUUUGGGGUGGGGUGACUGCGUACCUUUUGUAUAAUGGGUCAGCGACUUAUAUUCUGUAGCAAGGUUAACCGAAUAGGGGAGCCGGAGGGAAACCGAGUCUUAAUUGGGCGUUAAGUUGCAGGGUAUAGACCCGAAACCCGGUGAUCUAGCCAUGGGCAGGUUGAAGGUUGGGUAACACUAACUGGAGGACCGAACCGACUAAUGUUGAAAAAUUAGCGGAUGACCUGUGGCUGGGGGUGAAAGGCCAAUCAAACCGGGAGAUAGCUGGUUCUCCCCGAAAGCUAUUUAGGUAGCGCCUCGUGAAUUCAUCUCCGGGGGUAGAGCACUGUUUCGGCUAGGGGGCCAUCCCGGCUUACCAACCCGAUGCAAACUGCGAAUACCGGAGAAUGUUAUCACGGGAGACACACGGCGGGUGCUAACGUCCGUCGUGAAGAGGGAAACAACCCAGACCGCCAGCUAAGGUCCCAAAGUCAUGGUUAAGUGGGAAACGAUGUGGGAAGGCCCAGACAGCCAGGAUGUUGGCUUAGAAGCAGCCAUCAUUUAAAGAAAGCGUAAUAGCUCACUGGUCGAGUCGGCCUGCGCGGAAGAUGUAACGGGGCUAAACCAUGCACCGAAGCUGCGGCAGCGAACGUAUCACCCAAGACAACUUUACGGAGUUGACGAUUGACGGAGCGAAGCGACGUCAAAGCGUUCAUUAAAGUCGAGUUGGCUUAGGGAUACGUUCGUUGGGUAGGGGAGCGUUCUGUAAGCCUGUGAAGGUGUGUCGUGAGGCAUGCUGGAGGUAUCAGAAGUGCGAAUGCUGACAUAAGUAACGAUAAAGCGGGUGAAAAGCCCGCUCGCCGGAAGACCAAGGGUUCCUGUCCAACGUUAAUCGGGGCAGGGUGAGUCGACCCCUAAGGCGAGGCCGAAAGGCGUAGUCGAUGGGAAACGGGUUAAUAUUCCCGUACUUGGUGUUACUGCGAAGGGGGGACGGAGAAGGCUAUGUUGGCCGGGCGACGGUUGUCCCGGUUUAAGCGUGUAGGUGUGUGUUCCAGGUAAAUCCGGUUCACUUUAACACUGAGGCGUGACGACGAGGCACUACGGUGCUGAAGCAACAAAUGCCCUGCUUCCAGGAAAA